UUUGGAAGAAGCUUGGAUGUUCUUAGCACUCUGCCGAUAUCCCAGCCAAAUCCGGCACGGAUGCCGGAUUAGAUGCAACGCAGACACGGAAGUCUGCUUUGCAUCGAUGGCGUAUAAGAAAAACACUUUUAUCAGAGUUCUUAGAACAUCCUGCUUCGCACAGC
Molecule: regulatory RNA element, 164 nt
Organism: Firmicutes bacterium CAG:882
Lineage: Bacteria; Bacillati; Bacillota
Source: Rfam